This 240-nucleotide ribosomal RNA is filed under the name uncultured bacterium. RNAcentral describes it as "partial 16S ribosomal RNA". It matches the Rfam family "Bacterial small subunit ribosomal RNA", at positions 118 to 353 of the family's 1533-position model. The record is from RNAcentral.
UGAGGAACAUGACCUUCGGCGGGGGAUAGCCGGCCCAACGGCCGGGUAAUACCGCGUACGACCUUUUGGGGACAUCCCUGAUUGGUGAAAGCAGCAAUGCGCCGAAAGAGUGCCUCGCGGCCUAUCAGCUAGUUGGUGGGGUAAUGGCUCACCAAGGCAACGACGGGUAGCUGGUCUGAGAGGAUGGCCAGCCACAUUGGGACUGAGACACGGCCCAGACCUCCGUACGGGGAGGNAGCG